Molecule: microRNA precursor, 96 nt
Organism: Ochotona princeps (American pika)
Lineage: Eukaryota; Metazoa; Chordata; Mammalia; Lagomorpha; Ochotonidae
Source: Ensembl
CGUCUGCCUGGCCGACUUUGGCACUAGCACAUUUUUGCUUGUGUCUCUCCGCUCUGAGCAAUCAUGUGCAGUGCCAAUAUGGGACAAGCAGAACGC